This 879-nucleotide ribosomal RNA is filed under the name Escherichia coli. RNAcentral's name for it is "partial 23S ribosomal RNA". It matches the Rfam family "Bacterial large subunit ribosomal RNA", at positions 1 to 922 of the family's 2925-position model. The record is from RNAcentral. Lineage: Bacteria; Pseudomonadati; Pseudomonadota; Gammaproteobacteria; Enterobacterales; Enterobacteriaceae.
GGUUAAGCGACUAAGCGUACACGGUGGAUGCCCUGGCAGUCAGAGGCGAUGAAGGACGUGCUAAUCUGCGAUAAGCGUCGGUAAGGUGAUAUGAACCGUUAUAACCGGCGAUUUCCGAAUGGGGAAACCCAGUGUGUUUCGACACACUAUCAUUAACUGAAUCCAUAGGUUAAUGAGGCGAACCGGGGGAACUGAAACAUCUAAGUACCCCGAGGAAAAGAAAUCAACCGAGAUUCCCCCAGUAGCGGCGAGCGAACGGGGAGCAGCCCAGAGCCUGAAUCAGUAUGUGUGUUAGUGGAAGCGUCUGGAAAGGCGCGCGAUACAGGGUGACAGCCCCGUACACAAAAAUGCACAUGCUGUGAGCUCGAUGAGUAGGGCGGGACACGUGGUAUCCUGUCUGAAUAUGGGGGGACCAUCCUCCAAGGCUAAAUACUCCUGACUGACCGAUAGUGAACCAGUACCGUGAGGGAAAGGCGAAAAGAACCCCGGCGAGGGGAGUGAAAAAGAACCUGAAACCGUGUACGUACAAGCAGUGGGAGCACGCUUAGGCGUGUGACUGCGUACCUUUUGUAUAAUGGGUCAGCGACUUAUAUUCUGUAGCAAGGUUAACCGAAUAGGGGAGCCGAAGGGAAACCGAGUCUUAACUGGGCGUUAAGUUGCAGGGUAUAGACCCGAAACCCGGUGAUCUAGCCAUGGGCAGGUUGAAGGUUGGGUAACACUAACUGGAGGACCGAACCGACUAAUGUUGAAAAAUUAGCGGAUGACUUGUGGCUGGGGGUGAAAGGCCAAUCAAACCGGGAGAUAGCUGGUUCUCCCCGAAAGCUAUUUAGGUAGCGCCUCGUGAAUUCAUCUCCGGGGGUAGAGCACUGUUUCGGCAAG